This 952-nucleotide long non-coding RNA is filed under the name Carica papaya (papaya). RNAcentral describes it as "long non-coding RNA (CPAP_LNC014555)". Lineage: Eukaryota; Viridiplantae; Streptophyta; Magnoliopsida; Brassicales; Caricaceae. The record is from RNAcentral.
UCCCAUUAGAUACUAAUCUUGGGUUCUGUAAAUGUCCAGAUAUAACGUAUGAGAAUGAGGUGUGCGCAUUAAGUUCCAUUCAAUACGUAUGUAUGUGUAUACAUGUCAGAUUAUGUGUGUGUAUUCCUGAACUACUUGUUGGGAGGUUCUGUUUCAAAGACUUGGAUCUGAUCUGUGGCUGUCAUCUUCAGGGGGCGCAGUACGGGUACGGCCUCCUCGCCCUUGCGAAAUUGGUUAUACUGAUCCAGGACUGAAUAUAAUACAUAUUAUGUAAUGUACAGCUGCAUGUCAAAUAAGCACGGGCUACUCCGAGGAAGCUAUCUGUAGCACCCGGAAAAAAAAAAAAAAAAAAAAAAAAAAAAAAGGGGGGGGCCACGUCAGCAGCCACGUCAGCAGGCCCGGUCAGCAGUCCCGGCCAACCGGGGCCUGCCACGUGGCAAGAUCGCGUCACUCCAAAAGGAGCCACGUUGGCGAUCCGCGUGGGUGCGAUCCGACGGCCCAGAUCAAUCGCGCGAUCGGACGGUCCAGAUUCAAACGCACGGACGGCCCAGAUUCAAUCAAAAACGAACGGCCCAGAUUAAAACGAAAUGAACGGCUGUGAUCAAAAAGCAAGGGGUUAUAAAUAGAACCCCCACACCAGACCACAAACCCUAUCCGCCAGCCGCUCGCCGGAGAAGACGAACCAGAGGCCGACCGCCGCCUCCCGCCGCCACUCGCCGCCGCACCGGGGAAAUUUCCGACCGCCGAUCGAGGUAAAUUUCAUACCCCCGACUGUUUUUCCCCACUGAUUCCUCCUAUGGCCAAAUCGAAGCCGAAAUCCCGGCCAAACGGCCGGAAUACGCGGCCGAAGCCCAGCGGCGCCGCCGCGCCCCCUCUCGGUUUUUGCCUCCGACGAGGCCCUUCCCGGCCUCCGUUCGAUGCAAUUUUUAUAUCACCGUGAUCACCAUUCUUU